Molecule: long non-coding RNA, 32200 nt
Filed under: Prunus persica (peach)
Lineage: Eukaryota; Viridiplantae; Streptophyta; Magnoliopsida; Rosales; Rosaceae
Description: long non-coding RNA (PPER_LNC003846)
Source: RNAcentral
GUUCUGCUACACAUGAAGGAAAAUCCAAAUUUGGGGGUUGAAGAAUCAAUAGCAAUUGUACAGAAGACCUUGGAUGAAAAGAAGAAAGAGUUUCUAGAACUGGCUCUGAGUAGUAACGAAAUGCCAGAAGCAUGCAAACAACUUCACCUUCACUGCCUCAAAGCAUUUCAGAUGUUUUUCAAUUCUACAAAUGCAUUCGACUCCCCAACAGAGUUGCUUGCUGACAUCAACAAAGCAAUUUUUGAUUCCUUGAGAGUGGAAGAUGUGCAAGGAUCAUUUAUGCCACUCAACUCUAUGCAAGGCACUCUUGGUUUGAAGAGGGAUAAAAGUUUGGCUAUCCAUGGCAAAUCCCAUUACAGCUCUUCUAAGCCCUGUAAUGGGAUUUUUGAGAGCAAUUGUGCUAUCAAAGUCCAAGGGAAUUCAAGGAAAGGCUUGGUGACCAAGCCUUAUUCUAGAAUCUUAUCAGUAAAGAUGAGAAACCCAAUUAUUUAUCCAACCUUUUCAAAUCCCAAAGCUUACAUCUAAAGCUCCCUUUUAUGUGGCUUCCUUUCUUUACUUUAUGUGUUUCCCUUUCAAAAGCCUUUUCUCUGCUUUUUCAAAUGUUGACCCAGAGGUCCUCUAAUUCUCCCUAUGAACUUACAUUCCCUUUGUUCUACAUCCCUUGCAUCUCCCUCAUCUUUCUUUUCUCUCAUCCCUCCACUCUUCCGUCGACCCGUGUCUCUCCCCCAUCAAAUCUCAAAACCAAAAGUCCUCUACCCCUAAAAGUUACUUGGUUUGCCACUGGAUUGCUACAACUAUUUUACUCCAACAACUCAUUCUCAAAUCUAACACUUGAAUUAAUCUGCACUUGUGGGCUCUGAAAAUCUAUGGUCAAUUUUGACUACUAUUUGAUAGAUCGCUUGAGUAUGAUGCAUGGUGGCAUGCUCCCUCAUAUUCACAGUCUACAGAUCUUCUCUCUUGGUUCUCCUGGACCUAGCUCUUCUUGUGGCAGCGGUGGCGUAUAUGGUGGUGAUGACAGUUGUGCUAUCAAAGUUCAAGGGAACACGAGGAAAGUUAGUGACCAAUCCUUACUCUAGAAUCUUAUCACUUGAGAUGAGAAACCCAACUAUUUAUACAACCUUUUCAAAGCCCAAAGUUUACAUCUAUUAGCUUUUUUAUAUGUGGCCGCUGGUAUAUCGAACGCUUCCUUUUUAUGUAUGCACUAAGUCUCAGUUUGUUUGUAUAAUAUAAUUUGAUAGAGUGGAGACUUCCACCUUAUAUAUAAAAUAAUUUUGAAGAGUGGACUUCCAUAGAUUAUUAUACAUAUCUUCCUUCUUUUUUAUUGGUAGCUACGGUUUCAGGAUUUCAAAUUGAAGUUGACUAAAUUUACUUUACUUACAAGACUUGAGAGGAGCAGAAUUAGUGGGGCCAAUAUGCAAAGAUUUCCAACUUUUUUAAAAAAGACUGAACCUAUAUUAAUUAAUCAUAACAAAAACUCACACUAACUAACCAAGGAAAUAAACUCAUACUAAUUAAUCAAAACAAUUAAAAAUGUAGAAGUUAUUUGUUAGCUUCUUAUAUCUAAAGCUUCCCUUAAGUGUGUUUAUAAUAUAAUUUCAUAGAGUUGACUUUUAUAGAUUAUUAAAAUACACAAUUUCGAUCUUUUGGACCACAUGAGUCCAAGAUGUUGUGGUCAUCCACCGUUGGAUAUUAAUCCAAUAGUUCAAAAAAGUUUCUUAAAAGGAGUGUAAGAGUGAGUGAACCGUUGAAUUUGCAUCCAACGGUAAGUGACCACAAAUCUCUUGGACCCCUGUAAUCCAAGAGAUCGAGACUGUUAAAAUAUAUACGUAUGUGUAUAAUACGAGUAUUAGACAUUAAAAUGCUAAUUUUUAAAAAAUAAUAUACGUUUUUAUCAUUUCGAAAUCUCGUGUAAACUUGAUUAUUGUGUUGUUGAAAUGUUAAUAAAUAAAUAAAUAAUUCACAUAAAUCAAAUUACACCAUAAAAAUCCAAAUAUAGAGUUUCCAUUAAGGAAAAGAUAUACCUUUAGAGUCCAAAAUAUUUCAUCGGAGCUCUAAAUGAGACUCUAUUCACCAUUUUUAGACCUCAUUUAGAGACUAUGAUUGGAGAUGCCCCAAUAAGUUUUAUGGCUAGAGCGGCUUUAUUUGUUUUGUGUUGCAUUAAUUUCUUUGAGUUCACUUUAAUGUAUUGACUUUGGAUUUCUUUGAGCAUAACUCCAAAUUUGGUAUUCCAAGUCUUCGCAUGGGUCUUUGCCAAACAAACAAAGUACGACUUGUGGUUGUAGAGGUCAUAAUGAUGGAUGGACCAUUUUGGAAGUGUACAAUUCAGAACGUAAAAGCUUCACACAAAUAAGAUUAAUUGUUCUUAUGGAUUUGUUGUAUUCAGAAAAAACUAAUUUAGAUUGAAAUAAAGCACCAUUGACUUUAUUGAAACGAUUAAUAUAUAAGUCAUCUACACGUACGUACAUUUUAGAUCAUAUGCAUAGGCUUAUAUCAUGCAUGACCUCAGUCUCAGAUAUGCAUGAUGCAUAUAUUGUUUGCGGCCAUUAAUGGAAUAUCCAUUAGGGUAAGUAGUGUAGUAAUUUGGAGUAAAUGUUCUCUUCUAGAAAAGGUUAUGGGUUCGAGUUCUAGUAUUUGUGUAGUAUGUGUGAGUUUAAUAUGUUAUCGCCACUCUUAGUAGGAAAAGGUCCUCGAAAAAGAGAAAGAAAAAGAUUACUUAACUUGGUCAUUAUCCUGUUGCGUUUAUAUAGUUAACCUUGAUAGCUGCCAAUCCUUCAGUAUAUACACAGAUAUUCUGGUCCUACUAGACAUAUAAGAUGUUUGUUUCCCGUAUAGCUUUUAUUUUGGCCACAAAAAAUCUAGUACACACAUUUAGAAUAUAUGUUAUUCUAAUUCACUAAAUUUCAUAGAAAUUUGAGUGUGAUCAUAUCACUUCUUUGUACAUGUUAUAAUAUGAAUGAAUCAUAAAUUUUUUACGGUAUAAUAUCAAUAAUAAUAAAUAAAAUUCAUGUUAUAAUGCAAAACAUCAAUGUCGUGACACCCUACCACUCUUGAAUGCGUCUGGUCUACCCCUCGACAAUACCAUGUUUUGGGCCAUAAAAUUACGUUGCACGUUGUGUGGUGGUCAAGAAGCUAUCAGAAUAACUGUGUGUAAAGCAGGUUGCGAAAUUCAUAUAUGUCGGCCCUCUGGCCCUCUGGUCGAAUUCAUAUAUAGAAGACCCAGACUUGACAUUUGAAUACAGAAAUGAAGCAUCAGAUUUGCGGCCGGAUCAGGUGGGUCCACCAGAUUGACAAACUUAAAAUUUUUAAGUCCAGACAAAGAAACUCUACAUCCAACACAGAAUUUUCAUGUGUAAACACUGAAAAAAAGAAUCAAAAGACAAUUAGAAUUCCAGGUGUUACCCUUAUAAAUAAUAAAGUGCAUGCAUGCAUGCUUCCAUAUUGUAACUAGCCUUGAUUUCAUUACCUUAAACUAUCCCAGCGCUUGCCCAGACAUUUCGUGGAAAACCCACAAUAUUAAUAUGGUCUGACUCUGGACUGGACCGGACCAGAAGUACCUCAUACAAUUGAGGGCAUACACGAGUAUUUGGUUGAACUCCAAAAGUGGCCAGCCAUUCAUACCACUACUCGACACAGUAGAAAUUGAUUUUUAAUUUGGUUCUGAGUUCCCAUAUACAUAUAGGAGAGUCACAACCAAACUGAAAGUUUCGGAGAAAAAAGGAAUAAUAAAGAUCUUAGAUGAAGUUGACUCAUUUCGUGCCAAAAUGACGUUUCAAAAAACUCAUUUGAUAAGUUGGGCAUUACCGAUAUCUAUACACCAACUUGAGGGGGAGUAUUGGCGUAAGUCAAUUAGUCUUAUUAGGAAUAGAAUUAUAUAAUUAUUAUAGUUUAUUAUAGUUACUUAAUUUGUGUAUAUUUCCUAUUUGUAUUCACUCUGUAUAUAGUAUAUAUAUUCCUCUUUAAGAGAAGAAUAAACAUACCAGUUUAAACUGUAAUUAUCUAUGAGUGAUCCAUCCAUCCCAUGCAAAAAUAUAUAGAGCCAGCCACCACUACCUCCCUUCCCUUCUAUAAGAAAAAGGGCCACUGUCUAUGGAGGGAAGCCUCAUAUUGGGUUGGUUUUUGAGGUUGGAUGGAGGAUUUUCAUGAAGCAAAUGAACAAGAAUGAAUAAUAGAAGGUUAAACAAUUCUGAUUCUAAAUCAAGUCUUUUUUCUUUUCUCUUUUCGAGAAACCUAUAAAAUCGUUGGAAAAUAAUAAUAAAGAUUUGCCUAAAAAUAUUCACCAAGCAACCAUGAGAGCCAUUACAGGGCGCCAAACAAGUAACCAUGAGAGCUAUAUAACACAGAAAAAGGGACCACCGUCUAACUUGUUUUGAAUCCGAGUUGAACCCAGGGAGUUCUUCAAUUCUAUGUCAAGAGGUUAUUGCUUAGAUUGGUUCUUUGUUUCAUGUCAAAGAUUUAGGGCCCCUACAUUAUUUUCUUGGGCUUGAAGUUACAAGGUCUUCUGAGGGUUUAUUCUUGUCUCAAACUAAGUAUGCUUACUUAUGAACUGCUGCAGAAAUCUGAUUUCUUGAGAGCCAAGGCUUACUUAUGAACUGCUGCAGAUUAUUUAAGCAUAUUUUUCAAAUCACCACUACAAAAAGUGAAAAAGACGACCAGAAAACAACGACGGUCUAGGUGAAAACCGUCGUGGUUUUUAAAAAGACGACGGUUCUAAAAACACCGUCGUGUAAUACCACCUUGACAACUAAAAAUGGAGAUUCAAAUGGCUGUUCAAAAACAACGACGUACCUAAUUAAACAACCGACGUCUAUUUGAAACAGAUUUCGGCAGUGUAAAAUCAAAACCAACAAAGAACGGCAGAAGUUAUGAAUCGACCGACGUAGAAAGUAAAGACGACGAUUUCAAUAAAAGCCGCCGUUUUUACUCAUAAAAUAACACGACGAGGUUUUCGUAUAAGACGCCGUAUAAUUACAAACAAAUCCAAGGCUUUAAAAUACAAAAUAUCGCCGUAUUAAAUUAAUGUACAACGACGAAAAAUAUAAAUAUAUCGACGUCAUUCUCGUAUAGUUCUACGACGUUAUCUUUAAAUCGUACUAUAAAAUUCAACGUCGUAUUUAUUCAUUUUAUACGUCGUCUUAAUAAGAAUUUUUGUUAACAAUUUUUUUCUUUGAUUUUCUUAUCCUAUGUCGGUAGAUCUACUUAAUGACAAGAAUUGAAAUAACCACGACGAUUUAUAUAGAAAACCGCCGACAUAAUCAGAUUUUUCUGAGAUCCCAAGGGUUACGAAAUCUUACCAGAUGGAACUCUGUUCCACAUCAUAAUCUUAACAGAUGACACAGAUUUGCAAUCAGAGAGACAAUUUUUUGGAAGUUGAUGAUGUGUGUGCGUUUGUGUAUCUACAAAUAUUAUACCUAACGUCGUUGCAAAUUUGCAAUCAGAGAGACAAUUUUCAACAACGGUUAUAUUAUACCUAACGACGUUUAAAAAACAAAUGAACGUCGCUAAACAAAUAUAUUACGUCGUCUUAGUCUUACUUAAGACGACGAAAAACGACGACAGUAAUACAAAAACAGUCGUUGUUUUUAUAUUCUUAUUUUAUUUAAAUCUGUCAUCCAAAAAAGAAACUUUACAUAUUCCAGAACAUUAAUUUCCUUCAUUUUAAAUUUUCUCCGGAAAAAAAACUCUAUUUAUAACGCACUGUAAUUGAAAAAUAAACUGAAAGGUCACGGGAAAAAAAAUUCUAUUCAUAAUUUAAAAAUUCAAAUCCACGUCGGUUAUAUUAAAACUAACGACGUUAAAUGAAAAUAUUCCACGUCGCAAAACAAAUAUUGCGUCGUUUUAGUUAAAAACGACGUCAUAACAAAAACCCGUCGUUGUUUCAAACUGAAUUAAUUUAAAAUUUCUUCGGGAAAGCAAAAUCUAUUUAUAAUUUCCUCGGGUUAGUAAUAUUGCGUCGUGUUAGUUUACAAAUUCUAGAACAUUAAUUUCCCUCAUUUGAAAUUUCCUCGGGAAAGAAAAAUCUAUUUAUCACGCUUUGUAAUUGAAAACUAAAACUGAAAGAAUUCGGGAAAAAAACACUCUAUUUAUAAUUUAAAAAUAAAAUCCACGUCGGUUGUAGUACACUUAACGACGUUUAACAAAAUAAUCUACGUCGGUAAUUAUAAAUAUACCGCCAUCUUACCUUUAUAUAGACGACGAGAAAAGACGACGGUAGAACAGAAAACCGCCGUUGUUUCAGUUUCUUUAACAGUUUGGUCCUUUAUCUUUCUGCAGGACUUGUAUAGUUCAAAGCAUUGACAAUGUCUUCAUCAUAUCUCCCAGCAACUACUGAUUCGAUUGCUCAUGCUUUAGAGGCCAUCUGAAGCCAUUUCUAUUCUCUAUCGCAUUCUUGAAACCCAUCUUCUUCUUCUGAAGCUCUACGUAAAGGAAGAGGCUAUCACAAAUCUGACGGAUCUUCUUAGUCAAAAAAAUCAAGCAGAGGAUCAGGCACAUCUGAUCUUCAGAUUUCCCUGAGAAGCGAACUUUCCUUCGACAGCGAGUGGAGGCCAGGCUUGCAUCUCUUUUGAUGGAAAGCAAGGAGUAUUCAGAAGCACUAAGUGUCCUAUCAGGCUUGAUCAAGGAAGUGAGAAGGCUAGUUGACAAGCUUCUUCUUGUCAACUAGCCUAAAUGUAAGCUCAAUUUCUCUUUGAGAAAGACCUCCAAAUUAUUGUCUUUGAGAUGUGAGAGACAGUGUCUCUGAGAGAGGAAGAACUUGGAACCCUAAAUGUAAACCGCGAAAAUGAAUGAAAGCGACAAAUUUAUAGAAUAAAUUUUUAAAACCAACGGCGGUCCUUACCAAAAAACCGCCGUUUAAAUUGUAAAAUCAACGUCGGUAUUACUGACGUACAUUACAGAACUCCACGCCGUAUUAUUUUUUUGAAAUGGUUUUAUAUGUAAGCAACUUUUCGUCUACUUGACUUACACAUUAGUUGUUUUUAUAUUCUUAUUUUAUUUAAAUCUGUCAUCCAAAAAAGAAACUUUACAUAUUGCAGAAUAUUAAUUUCCUUCGUUUUAAAUUUCCUCCGGAAAAAAAACUCUAUUUAUAACGCACUGUAAUUGAAAAAUAAACUGAAAGGUCACGGGAAAAAAAAAAUUCUAUUCAUAAUUUAAAAAUUAAAAUCCACGUCUGUUAUAUUAAACCUAACGACGUUAAAUGAAAUGAUUCCACGUCGAACUAAAAUUAUUGCGUCGUGUUAGUUAAAAACGACGUAGUUAAAUGUAACCGCCGUAUUAUUUUUUUGAAAUGGUUUUAUAUGUAAGCAACUUUUGGACUUACACAUGCACUGUUUCCAAACCCGAUUAGAAAUUUCAAUCUCCAGAGAAACCUUUUCGUCUCUUUUCCUUGUCAGAGCAUUGUCAGAGUUUCUCAUCGUCUUCCUCUCGUCUUCUUCGUCGUCCUUGAACUUAAACAUCGAUCAUCUUCCUCUUGCUUUCAUUGCACGCAAAAGGUAAGCUUUCAUUUUCACUAUUUUGGUUACUGUUUUGCAUGCUCAUACGUUUUUUGUUUGAAAAAUCUUUUUACCUUUUUUCUGGCCAAAAUCAUUUUACUUCUUUCCAAGUUUGAUAAAAUAUACAGACAAAGAGGGAAAGUUUCCAACUUUGAAGACAACUACCUCAACUAAAUAAGACGACGGUAGACCACGACGGUUCGUAAGUUGUUCUAGCGUCGUCUGAAAAUUGACAAAGUUGUUUUUAAAAUAAUAGUCUUUUUUUAUAUGCUUGUUUAAUUGCAGGUUUGAUUUCUCUGAACAAUGGUUUUUGUUUUUCCCUUAUUUGAUAAAAUAUAAAGAAAAAGAAACUAGGGUUGGUAUCUAAUAUAGACGACAAAAUAUCUUAUUGUUUUACGUCGUGUGAAUGUUAAUACCACGACGGUGUAUUACUAUUGACGUCGUAUGAACAUAAAUACCACGACGUUAUAUAAAUAAUAGUUUACCACGACGGUGUAUUACUAUUGACGUCGUGUGAACAUAUAUACCACGACGUUAUAUAAAUAAUGGUUUUAAACAUUUAUUACAUCUGACAUUAUUUCAUUGCGUCGUCUAAAAUCAUAUCAUACGUCGUAUUUUUUAAUACCGUCGUUUGUGUUCUUAAUGUUUUCCUGAAAUAUUUUCACUUGCAGUUUUGUCUGUUAAAAUGGUUUCUCAACAACAAACUAAGGAUUCUGGCUCCAAGAAGCUUGGAAUGGUAGCUCCUCAAGACAAGUCUUCGAAGGAGAUGAAGUCUUCGAAGAAGAUGAAGUUUGCUUCAUCAUCUGCUGAGACAGAACCAACCAGCCAGACAACAAUCUCUGAUGAUUCAAAGACUGGUCGAGGUAUGAGCACAAUGCCUCGUGUUGUGAAGAGAAAGCUUCAGAAACUGAGGCCAAUUGUUGAGUACAAUAAAAGGGGGAAAGGUGUUGGCCAAGCACAUAUUGAGAUGCAGUCGUAUAUUGGUGUGUUGGCACGCUCCAGGAUCCCACUUGUGGACAAGAAAUGGUCCCAAAUCCCCAAGGAUAUAAAGGAGCAGAUUUGGGAAGCAGUUGACAUGGCUUUUGUCGUAGGCCAAGGGGGCAAGACCUCUGUUUUAGCUUCUGCUUCCAAGAAAUGGAAGGAUUUCAAGUCUACACUAACGAGGCAUUAUAUCCUUCCAUACACCAAUGACAGGGAGAAAUUAAGCCAACCCCCUGAAACAUAUAAAUUCAUAGAGAAAGCACAAUGGGAUGCCUUUGUAGCUUCAAGGCUAUCCAAAGAUUUUGAGUCUGUGCAUUCUCAACAUGCACAGAUUAGGGAGAAACUCGAGUACAAUCAUCGAUUGUCUCGAAAAGGAUAUGCUGGAUUGGAGGAUCAAUUGGAGGAAACCAUGCCUGGGGUAGAAAUUGAUCGAUCUACCUUAUGGAAGAGAGCUAGACAGGACAAACAUGGUAACAUCCCUGAUCCAAAGGUGGCAGAGAAAGCUAAAUUAAUUGUAAGCCUACUAUCACUCUGUUUUAAAUUUUUAUUAAACUGUGAAUUAUUCUUAUUACGUCGUGUGUUAUAUUGUUCGUCGUGUGAAUGAUAUUACCACGUCGAAACUUUGUUAAAAACGUCGUUAACGGUCUAAAUAGGAAUCACUACUCUGUUUUCUUUAAUUAUAGCAUAAGACGUCGGUUGUUUAUUCAUUUCGUCGUUUUAAAUAAAUAACCACGUCGGUAUAACUACCGUCGUGAUAAGUUAUAAUAACGUCGUUUUAUAUGUUAUUGCGUCGUGUGAAAUUAUAUAAUACGUCGUUUGUACAUAAAUAACCGUCGUGUGUUUUUUUGUUUAUCUUUGUUUUAGGAUGAAUUGCAGAAACAAGUCUCGGAAGGCAAAGUCAGAGUAGAUGGCAGCAAUGAUGUGCUGACCAUGGCUUUGGGCCCCGAGCAUCCAGGCAGGGUGAGGGGAGUUGGUGCUGGUGUUUCCCCAAGGCAAUAUUUCAAUUUGCCCAAACCACAGAGGGUGAGCUUUGACGACCGUUUGAAGGAGAGUUUAAGAGUUCUCCUUCAAGAAGAGACUAAAAAGAUGGAGGCUAAGGCAAGGGAAGAGGCCUUAAGGAUGGAGGCUAGGACAAAACAAUUGGUAGAGGCUGAGAGGGAGCAUUUCCUGAGUCAGCUUUCCCAAUUAAUUCCCAAUUUUGAUCCAAGCAUGCUUAAACCAAGAAUUAGCCAAAGCCCCAAAAAUCCAAUGUCUGACAAAGCUAGCUGCUCUGGAGGUGAUGUGAGAUCCCUACAUUUGGAGGAUGAUACUGCCAAAAUGGGGAAACAUCAGCCAGAUGAAGAGAAGGAAGAAGAAAAGAGAGAUGAAGAGAAGGAAGAAGAAAAAAGAUAUGAAGAGAAGGAAGAAGAAAAAAGAGAUGAAGAGAAGGAAGAAGAAAAUGAGAAAGAAGAUGAAGAAAAGCAUGACGACAAGGUAUGUUAACAUAACUUUUUUAUUUGUUUUUCAAAAUUUCAGACGUCGAUAUUUUUAUUUAAUCCGUCGUUUGUUUACAACUUAGACGGCGGAAUUUUUUUAAGACGUAAUAAAAUAUUUAAACGACGGUUUUUUCACCGUCGUUUAAAAGGUUUCAGACGACUCUUUAUUCAUAAAACCGUCGUCUUUAUUAAAUUACCACGACAAUUUUUUCACCGUCGUUUAAAUACUUUUAAAACGACGUUUUAUUCCUUAAACCGUCGUCUUUAUUGAAUUACCACGUCAUUUUUUUUUCUUUAAACAGGUUAUUGAAGUUGGUGCUUAUUCAAAAAUGGAGGCGCCAUCUUCUUUAAAAACCCUUUGUCGUUUUGUGGAAACGACACUCCUGCCUGAGGAUAAGACAGUCCAAUUUACAAUUGAUAAGGGGGUGUUUGGUGGUGAGCGCGAUACCUUCCUCCUGCCUGAAGAUAUUACACAAUUUGCAGGCAUGGAAGAAAUUGGAGCUACUGUAUUGGCUGUAUAUAUGAGGUUUGUACUUCUAAAAUAAUAACUCGUUGGUUUAUAUAUUGCGUCGUCUUAACUAACUAACCACGUCGUCUUAACUAACAACCGUCGUGAUAAAUAUAUUAUAACGUCCUCAUCUAUUUCAGUACGUCGUUUGAAAUAUUAUAAUACGUCGUUGUUUUAUACAUAACCGUCGUGUUUUGUGUGCUGACUUGUUUAUAUUAUUUUAUUUGUUUAGGUACUUACACGAUGUUUUGAAAAAAGCCAAUAUGUGCAGUAUGGUUGGCUUUAUCGACCCUGCUACAGUUAGUGCCAACUCUGGCACAAUAACUGCCAGAUCACGACUGGUAGCAGCUCGACUUCAGAAGACAGACGGUGAACAGAUUUUCAUGAUGCCUUACAAUCCAGGGUUAGUCUCCUUAGGAUUUUGUUUUUAUGAUUUUCAAUAAAUGACAGCUUAUAAACUAACCACGUCGGUGUUUUAUUUUAUUUAGUCGUUUGAAACUACUAACCACGUCGGUAUUUAUUUAUCGUCGUGAUAAAUAUAUAAUGUCGUCGUUAGCUACUUUACUUCGUCGUGUGAAAUACUAUAAUACGUCGUUUUUGUAAAUAACCGUCGUUUUUAUAUUAAUUUUGUGCAGCCGUCAUUGGAUUUUGCUGAUUGUAAGAGCAAAGAGAGAAACCGUCUAUUUUCUGGAUCCUCUGCCAGGAAAUCGUGUGGUCGAUGAAGAGGCCAAAAACAUCGUGAACAGUGCUUUAAAAUUAUAUAAUACCCACAUAGCCCGAGCAGGACGUAAAAAUGUAAUUUGGAAAACUCUCUCAGGCACACCAAAGCAACCCAGCAAUGUCGAAUGCGGGUAUUAUGUAAUGCGCUUCAUGAGGGACAUCAUCAUGGAUCCUUCCUUGGGGUUUGAGAAUAAGGUAAGAAGAAAUUACCUUCAUACAUUUCACGUCGUUUUUUGUAUUAUCAACGACGGUCGUGUAAAAUUAACGUCGUUGAAUGGAUAUACUACGUCGGUUAUGAAAAAUAUCGUCGUCUGUGAUUGAAUUUCUUUUUAUUUAUAAACCCUAAUAGUCAUUGUUUAUGCAGUAUGCCAAGGGAAACCAGGAAGCUUCAUACCCCCAAGAAGCCAUUGAUGAAGUCCGGAAUGAAUGGGCAGAGUUUGUUUUCCAAAUUAUUAAACAGGGCAAUUAUUGAACACUUGAUAUUUAUGUAUAAUGUACCAAUUUUCUCUAUAAUAUGUAAUGUAAAAAUUUGUUGAGGUUUUCUUAAAUUAAAAAAAAAACAAACAUACAAAUUGCUUAACCGACGUGUAAUACUUUUCCAACGACCUAAUAAAGUCAAUAACCGUCGUAUUUUGUUGUUGCGUGUUUUAAACAAAUACGACGUAAAAAAAUAGUUAGACGACGUUCUUUGAACAAUUGAGUCGUUAAUGGUUUACAAUAUCUUCAAUUUCUUAAGGGUUCAGGGUAUAAUCGACGACGUUUAUGUAACGACUGCGGUUAAGUCGUAAAAUAUAUAUUUUACGUCGUAUAGUUAAAUAGCCGCCAUGGUUUCUCAUUUUAACGACGUCAUUUUAACGACUUAGUAGUCUAUUACAAUUUACAACGUCUACAAUUUAUUUAACACCGACGUGGUUUGUUGUAUGGUAAGAAUAUUUUAUUAUUUUUAUAUCAAAAUAUUCAAAAUAAAUAUAAAAUAAAUCAGAAAAUUGAAAAGUCAACUCCUAUGAAGUCAUUGAUAUAUUUUCUUCCACAUAAACCUUGAAAAAAUUCAUUUUGAAUAACAAAAAUUUAAAAUGACCAUCCAAAACAAAAUUGUUUUGAUGAGUCAUAAAAUCACUUCUAGUUUUAUGGUUUAGGGUUUAGAGUCUAGGGUUUAGAGAUUAGGGUUGUUAUUUAUUGGGGUUUAUUUUUAAAGUAUAAUUUUUGGGUAGUCUAUGUUAUAUGUUAGGCUUUAAAACCAUAAAACCUUUUAUAAACUUAAUUUUUUAAAUUGUAUAAUUUAAUUUUAUGGGUUUAGUGUAUUAAUUUUUAACGACGGUGGUUGGGUCGUGGAAUACAUAUUUUACGUCGUACAGUAAAACAUACGACAUGGUUUACGCUUUAAACGACGUUAUUUUAAUAUGUAAGUCAGUUUAUAUAAUUUACAAUGUCUUUAAUUUCUUAACACCGACGUGGUUUUUCAGUCGUCGUUAUAUAAAAAAUUCAAAAUAAAUUUAAAAUUAAUCCGAAAAAUGAACGGCCUUACGUUCUUAAUCCGAAAAAUGAAGUUUCCGUCGUGGAAUAUUAAAUUUACGUCGGUACUUGUAGAACUUUCGCCUUGGUUUUUCUUUCGACGUUUUAUAACGCGCGCGCUCUAAAAAUUUUCGCGCGACCUAAAUUUUUUUAGAUUUGGCUCUUAGUCUUAUACUUCGAUCCCUGAAACCUAAAAUUUCAGAUUUCACGCGACAUAACAUUUCGCUCUCUCACUUCUGCUCUAAUUAAAAGUUGCACUCUCCAGGCUCGUCGAAUCUGUGAGCUCGUCCAACCUGUAAGUACAAACCCUAUCUUCCCCUUGUAAAUUCAUUGAAUGAUAUUAGGUUGUUUUGUUAAAGGGUUUUAGGUAUAUGCUUUGCGAUCUGUUAAUAAUGUGCUUAUAGGUAUGGGUUCAUGGAUUUUCUGUUUAAUGGGUUCAUGACAAGAUCAAAUAAAGGUGUACUUUUGCUGGAAAUCAACACAAAAAGACACAUCACCAACUUCCAAAUGAUUUCCAGCAAAAGGACACCUUUAUUUGAUCUUGUCAUUUUCCGCUCUGGAGAAGGUGCAAAGUGCACCAAUGCUUAUAGGUAUGGGUUCAUGGAUUUUCUGUUUAAUGGGUUCAUGGAUUACAUUAUCUGUUAUGUUGAAUUGGGAAUGGAUUUAAUUUUGUCGUAUCUUUUAAUCACCCUAUGUUAUGUUGAAUUGGGAAUGGAUUUAUUGUUUUCAUGCUUGGUUUCAUGUAUAUGUUGGUUUCUUGCUUGGUUUCAUAUAUAUGUUGUGUUCUUAAUGGGUUUUGUGUUCUUGAAAAUAAACUGAGACACGACGAAUUUUAAGGCGUACGACGACGAUUACACGACGGUGUUUUUAAACUACCGUCGUUGUAUUACUUAUACACGACGGUUUUUUCAUAAACCGUCGUUUGUAUUACGUAUAAUAGACGACGUCUGUUGAAAAUCCGUCGUCUAUAUAUGCCAAAUACGUCUGUUUUUGAUUAAAACCCGUCGUCUCUGUUGUUUAUUACUUGCGAUUAGAUCAUUGUAUAAUCUGCUAUAGUGAUGGUCAUUGCCUGUAUUUUCACUUUAUUAUAGAUAAUAGGUUAUAGUGUCGGAGAUGGAUAAGUCAUGGAUGCACUCGGAUAGAAGAUCGAAGGCAUAUGAGUUUGGGGUGGAAGCAUUUUUGAACUUUGCUGUAGAAAAUCUUCUAACUACAACACAUAUCCGUUGUCCAUGUGUUAAAUGUGUUAAUUUGAAGUUGUUUGGGGUUGGAAUUAUAAGGGAUCACUUAUACUUUAAUGGAAUUGACCAAAGCUAUAAGAAUUGGACAUUUCACGGAGAACCUUGGGAAGCAACUACUAAUGCUAGCAGAAAUGUUGAAGAAGAUGAUGGCCAUAGUAGGUACAGUUUUGUGUCUGAAGAAAUUGAUAUGGAUGAUAAUGAUUUUGGUGAUUUUGGUUCGGAUCCGUAUGAGUUUGCCAAUGUGAUUGGGGAUGGAGAUCAACCAGUGUACCCUGGUUGUAGAAAGUACACGAAGUUAUCGGCAUUAGUGAAGUUGUAUAAUUUGAAGGCAAAACAUGGGAUGAGUGAUGUCUGUUUUACAGAAUUAUUGAUACUUCAAGGCGAUUUGCUUCCAGAAGGAAAUACAAUACCAACCUCCAUGUAUGAGGCUAAAAAGACUUUGUGUGCAUUGGGGCUGAGUUAUGAGAAAAUGCACGCAUGCCCCAAUGAUUGCAUCUUGUAUAGGAAGGAGUAUGAGGAUUCAACUAAUUGUCCUACUUGUGAUAUCUCAAGGUGGAAGGAAGGCAAAGAUGCAAUCUUGAAAGAGGGUGUGCCAGCGAAGGUGGUGUGGUAUUUUCCCCCAAUUCCAAGGUUUAAAAGGAUGUUUCAAUCACAUGAGACAGCUAAGAGUUUGACUUGGUGGCAUGUUGCUAGAAAAUCAAUUGACGGUCAGAUGUCUCAUCCGGCGGAUUCCCCGUCUUGGAAACUUCUUGAUGAUAAAUGGCCUGAGUUUGGUAAUGAGCCGAGAAACUUGAGAUUGGCUCUUUCAUCUGAUGGAUUCAAUCCCCACAGUUCUCUAAGUAGCAGAUAUAGUUGUUGGCCGGUUAUCUUAGUUACAUAUAAUCUCCCUCCAUGGCUGUGCAUGAAACGAAAGUUCAUGAUGUUAACCUUAUUGAUUUCCGGUCCUAAACAACCCGGAAAUGAUAUAGACGUCUACUUGGAGCCUUUGAUUGAUGAUUUAAAAUCCUUGUGGGUUGGGAUUAGAGGAGUGUAUGAUGCACAUAAUGGAGAAUACUUUACACUCAGAGCUGCAUUAAUGUGGACAAUUAAUGAUUUCCCCGCCUAUGGAAACUUAUCUGGUUGUGUUGUUAAAGGAUAUAAAGCUUGUCCAAUAUGCGGCGAUGAUACACCUAGUCACAGGUUGAAAAAUGGCCACAAAAUUUGUUACAUUGGGCAUAGAAAAUGGUUACCAAUCAAUCAUCCAUAUAGGAGGCAACGUGCAGCUUUUAAUGGGAAACCUGAAUAUGGCAUACCUCCAGAGCCAUUAACCGGAGAAGAAGUGCUGCAUAUGGUUGAAAAUGGUGACAGAGUUUGUUGGAAGAAGAAAUCAAUAUUCUUUGAUCUCGAGUAUUGGAAAUACCUUCCUGUGAGGCAUGCCCUAGAUGUUAUGCACAUUGAGAAGAAUGUUUGCGAUAGUAUCAUUGGUACAUUGCUGGAGAUCCCUGGAAAAAAUAAAGAUGGGAUUGCUGCUCGAUUAGAUUUAUUGAACAUGGGGGUCAAAACUGAUUUGCAACCCGAGUAUGGAGAAAGACGUACUCGUUUGCCUCCUGGGCCUUGGAAUUUGUCAAGAGCAGAGAAGAGAGAGGUUUGCAAUUCUUUCUAUGGUAUGAAGGUCCCUGAAGGUUAUUCUUCAAAUAUUAAAAAUCUUGUAUCUGUACAAGAUUCAAGACUUCUUGGCCUUAAAUCACAUGAUUGUCAUACCUUAAUGCAACAAUUGCUCCCUGUGGCAAUUCGUUCUGUUUUGGAGAAGCCUGCAAGGUAUGCAAUAACUCGUUUGUGCUUCUUCUUCAAUGCUAUAUGUGCAAAGACUGUUGAUGUUUCCAAGCUAGAUAAGUUGGAAGAAGAUGUAGUAGUUACUCUGUGUUUGCUUGAGAAGUACUUUCCCCCUUCAUUCUUUGAUAUCAUGGUUCAUCUAGUAGUACAUCUUGUCAGAGAAGUUCGUCUAUGUGGGCCAGUAUAUUUUAGGUGGAUGUAUCCGUUUGAAAGAUAUAUGAAAGUGCUGAAGGGGUAUGUUCAGAAUCGUACUCGUCCCGAAGGUUGCAUUGCUGAGCGGUAUAUAGCUGAAGAAGCGGUAGAGUUUUGUACUCAGCAUUUAUCUGAUGUUAGUACAGUUGGAGUGCCUUCAAGCCAAAAGAUGGGAGUUUCAAAGCCAUUAUCAGGUUGCACAGUGAGCGUAGUUGAUCAGGACCUGUUGAAUCAAGCACAUCUAUAUGUCUUGGAGAAUACGGAGGAAGUCCUACCUUAUAUCGAGUACGUAUGAGUUUUAUUCUUUAAGUUUCCAUUUAAAAUUAUUUCUUAUGUUUAUCUUAUAUAUUUGGGACCGUAAUGCUUGAAUUUUUCGUGUCAUGUAGGCAACAUAUGAUCCACAUCAAGACUGCUUAUCCAAAAUUUAGAAAGAGAACAAAGUGGCUGCAGGAUAAGCACAAUAGCACUUUCAUUCAAUGGCUACGCUUCAAGGUAUAUGUUGUUGAAUAACGUAUUUCUCUUUUAAUUUUCUUCUUAUUUAUAUGUUAGGAUGAAUUAAGAUAUGAUUAAUUUGCAGGUUCAAAGUGAACUUGAGGAAGACAAUCAUGGCGUAUCAGAAAAUUUAAGGUGGCUAGCAGCUGGUCCAAACAUGUCAGUGCCAUUAUAUAGGAGCUAUCUUAUUAAAGGUAUUAAAUUCAAUAUCAAGGCACAAGAUGAUGUGCGGACAACUCAAAAUAGUGGAGUUUAUUUACUUGCACAUACCAUGCAAGUUGCUAGUGCCAAGGAUAAAAACCCAAUUCUCUCAAAUAUGGGUUUCUAUGGUGUCAUUCAAGAAAUUUGGGACCUUGACUACCAAAAGUUUACAAUCCCAGUCUUUAGGUGUGAUUGGAUAGAUAGUUCUGGUCUUGUAGUCGACGAACUUGGAUUUACCCUUGUAGAUUUGAGUAAAAUUGGACAUAGGAAUGACCAAUUUGUUUUGGCUUCUCAAGUCAAACAAAUAUUUUUUGUUGACGACCCGAUGCAUCGUGGUUGGUCGGUAGUGUUAUCAAUGCCUAGUAGAGAAUAUAAUGAUGUUAUUGGUGAUGAAGUAUUAGGUGAUGUGAUAAUUGAGUGUGAGCCAUUUACUAGAGGGAUGCCAAAUGUUGACACAUUUGAUGAACUGGUAGGUGAGUUAGGCGGUCAAAAUAUUCGAGAUGGGUGUGAAGAUAUAUGGAUUGAAUGAUGCUUAUGUAAUUGGCAGUGUAUGACAUUAAUUUUGUAAUAUAUUGUAAUGUGAUUUCUUCACUUUCUACGUUCAAAUAAAACACGACGUUAUUGUGAAUCAGUUAUUCAGCAUAUUUACCGACGUCUUAAAGCAACGUAACAAUGAAGAACCACGACGCUAUUGUGAAGCAAUUAUUCAGGAUAUCACGUCGGUGAAGGAUAAAGAACCGCCAUGUAAUUCAAAAUAACACGACUCCAAUCCCAUAAUACCGACGUCUAAAAAACGAGAUAUAUAAUCUGAACGUUAAAAAAUACGACGUCAUCAUACAUUUUCCACGUCGCAAGUUCUUUUAUAAACGAAGAGGAACGAAAUUAAUUCCGACGGAAAUUCAUUAUAACCGCCGUCUAAUAACAAUUAAACAACGUUAUUUGUAAUACGGCUCCCAUCAUAAUCUACGUCGUCUAUAUGUUCUGUAAUACGGCUCUCAUUUAUUUGGAACCGACGUUGUUUAGACGUUCAACGUCGUCUAUAUUAUUAAGUGCGUCGUGAGUAAUGAAUACAUAUAAAUACAACGUCGACUAUAUAAAUGUAUACGUCGUAAAUAAUGACACUGACAACUAUUUCCACGUCAUCUUUUUUAGAAAAAUCGAAGUGGAAAAUUUAUUUCACGACGGUUUUUUGUAAAUAAGAGACGUUGUAGAACUUUAGCAGACUAAACACGUCUGUUUUUAUUGUUUUCCGACGUUGUUGUAUUUAACAACGUCUAAUAUUUAUGGUCGUUGUUUGUUUCUGAAAAUAGGACGUAUAAAUUUUUUAAUACGACUCUCAUAUAUUUGUAACUGACGUUGUUUAGUUUUUCAACGUCUACUAUAGAAACACAUACGUCGUAAAUAAUGACACUGACAACUAUUUCCACGUCAUCUUUUAUCGAAAAAUCGAAGUGGAAAAUUAAUUGUACGACGGUUGUGUUUAUAUGUGCGACGUAGUAGGUAUCAAUAACGUCGUCUUCUAAUGUAUUUAAAGACGUCAUAUUUUUUAUUGUCGUGAAAAUUAUAUUUAACGUCGGCGUAUUUUUAUUGUCGUCGUUGUAUGUCUAUCUUGCGGCCUUGUUCUCUUAAUAUGUGUCAUAUUUUCCCUUUUUAACGACGGUCUUUUUAGAGAAUUGGUCGUCUAUUAUCAUCCUCGAUUGCUUUUUUUAGAUCUUUUUGCAGUACAAAGACGUCGUUUUGUAUUUUUUGAUGACGUUGUAUUGUUUAACAACGACGGUUAUUUAGCGUCGUGGUUUAUGAGGGAAAAGAUGACGGUGGAUUCCACGACCAUUGAAAAACCAAAUACACGACGGUGAUUUACCGUCGUCUUUUUGCUUUUUUGUAGUAGUGAAUCAAUGUUUUGAGCUUUCACAAUUUCUAUCUCCCUAACGUAUAUUUGAUUACUUAACAUUGUAAAUAUAAAUAAUCUAUCUAAUACUGUAAAUAUAAUUUACCUAACGUAUUUUUGCGCUCAUUUUUCAUAUCUUCAACUGUUUGGCUUCACAUCACGUCAUGCACAUGACGCAUGUAAAACUCUUAACUUGUCAUUUGAAUAAUUAUAUAUACAUAGAAAAUUUGACAUACGUACGUACCGGUCAAAGAAGAUAACACUACACAUACGUACAUACACAGAGAAGGUAGAAAGGUAGAAAUAUGGUCGUUUUUCAAUAUAUCAAAUCAAUUGAGGUCCUUACAUUUAACGAGCAUGUAAAAGCUAAAUUUGAAGAAGAAAAAUCAAAAGAGGAAAAUGAAGCAUCAAAUUUGCGGCCGGAUAAUCACGUUCCUUUUGUUCUGUCUUAAAAGGGCAUUUAUGGAAAUACACACAUUUUGAAAUACGUAAUGGGUUUGACUUAAACUGAUUCUAUAAAUAACACACAAAUUAUGCGAGUCUACACAAAGACAUCAUAACAAAGGCAAAGAGAAGUACGUGUGUGACACAUACAUUGAAAAAAAAAAUUAGAAAUUUGCAUGGAUUUGCAAGGAUCUUCAGUUAAGUAUCUUGUAACCAAGGUUAAACAAGAUCUCUUAGCGUCAUCACAGGUUGAUGUUUAUGGUCUUGUACCUCCUUCUCCUUACGACACUGCUUGGCUCUCAAUGGUUUCCAACCCUCAACACUCAGAUCAACCAUUGUUUCAGGGGUGCUUGGAUUGGGUGCUCCAACACCAAAACAGAGGAGGCUUCUGGGGUGAGAAUAUUGGUCAUCCCACUUUAGAGUGCCUCACUUCAACUCUUGCUUGCAUUGUUGCACUUAUCACAUGGAAUGUUGGUCACGAUGCCAUUCAGAAAGGUACACAUAUAAAUUCUGGUUCUUUAUACGAAAAUUAACCAAUUUUGCGCAUAACUAAUUGCUGCAAACUUUGCUUUGUUGUGUUUGUUGGCUCGACUGUGUAUAUAUGUAUGUUUAGGGUUGGCAUUCAUCCAUGGAAACACAGAGAGGCUCUUGGAAGAGCAGAAUGGUUCUUUUCCUGAGUGGUUUGCAAUAGUUUUCCCAGCAAUGAUUGAACUUGCAGAGACCAAAGGAUUACAUGUUUACUUUUCUAAUGGGCUGGUAGAACAAGUCUUCCUAGAGAGACAAGAAAUAUUGCAAACGCGCAGGUAGUUUUAAAUUUUAAUUUCACUUUAUUUUUUUUAUAGGUAGUGAACUUAUAAUAGACUUAAUUUGGUGCAGGUGGGUGUCUGGUUGUGGUCAGCAACAGUAUUAUCCAGCACUCAUGUUACAAUAUCUUGAAGACGGGUUAAUCCAAUCCCCAUCAGCCAUUGCAUAUGCUUUCAUGAAGACAGGAAACAAGGAGUUUUUGGUGAAACAUGUGGUUAUGGAAGUACGUCGUUUUCUUUUUAUAUUUUGUAUUAUAUGAUUUCAUUGUUGUCCUCCUUAGUUUGUCACCUACCGUCCAAACAUUCUGAUCAUAUAUACGUCACUAAAUGACGAAUUAACAACAAUAGGCUUGGCUUGUAUAUCAAGUGGUUGAAAAUAGUUUUUCAUGUAUAUGACGUCAUGUGUUCGACUUCUACUUCCCAGUAUUGCUUUUAUUAAAAAUAAAAAAUUACAUGGGCUAACAUGGGAUGAUAAUUUUGGCACGUUUACAGUUCCUGCGGUCUACCCCUUGGAUGAAGACCUUGUAAACAUUCUUCUAAUUAACCAGAUUGAGACGCUGGGGUUAGCAGAGCAUUUCAUGGAGGAGAUUAAAAGUUUGCUGGCCCAAGUUUACAGGUGACAAUCAAUCCUAAUAUACAACAUUAAUUAAGUACAUAUGCAAUUAAAAUGUACAUAUAAUUAAUCUGGUUGGUUAAUUUUAAUUUUAAUUUUUUAAAUUAAAUCAGAAGUUGCAUAAGCUGCAAAGAAUCAAAGAGUAUGGGAAAGCAUGCAAUCCCACUACAACUUUAUACACAUGCUCUCUCAUUUCGACUUCUAAGACUAUAUGGUUAUAGAGUUUCUCCUCGUAAGGAUCAAUGCUAAUUACAUAUGUUUAUUAGUUAUUGUACUAAACUUUGUUAAUUUAAUAUUUAAUUCAUUUGCGUUUUGCAAUUAUUUUUGCAGGGAAGUUCUGCAGGUUCCUAGAGGAUGAAGAUAUAGUGACGUACAUAGAAGAGUACCAUGAGCUUUUUUUGAGUGCCAUGUAUAAUGUAUACAGGGCAACUGAUGUUACUUUUACUGGAGAAAAUCAACUUGAGGAUGCCAGGGCAUUCUCAAGAAGAAUUCUAGAAAAGGAAACAAUGAAAAAUUGUACGAAUUUGGUCCGACCUAUUAGUUUGACUAAUUUGCAAGGUCAGGUAUAUUUUAUAGGCUUAUUUACUAUUUCACUCCAUGGAAUGGACACUCGGUCUCACUUUACCAUCUUAAGCUGAAAUUUUUUCAUUUAAUCCCGUGAAUCUUUAAAAAUUGCUGAAAUUUUUUCACUUUAUCACUUCUGUCCAUUUCCAUUCACAAAACCAUUAAGGCCCCGUUUGGGAUUGCUUUUUUUCACUAAAAACCUGCUUCACUUUAAAGUUAAGCAGUUUAAAAUGUUUGGUAAAAAUAAAAUAUCCUAAUUAUUUUAAAAACAAUGGCUUUUUGACAGCAGCUUUUAAAAGCAAGCUCCCCGUUGCUUUUCAAAACUGCUUUCAAAAGAAGCAGAGAUGAGCCUUUAAUAGAUUUUUUUAAUUUCCAAAAUACCAUUAUUCAUUUUAAAAAAUGAAACCACCUCCACUUCCACCACCAACCCACAUCCUCAUCCUCUACCACCACCACCAUAACUACCACCUCUUCCACCACCCCCACCUCGUCCACCACCACCACCACCACCAACACACAUCCUCAUCCUCUACCACCACCACCAUAACUACCACCUCUUCCACCACCCCCACCUCGUCCACCACCACCAUCACCUCCACCUCCACAACUGCCAUCCCCACCACCACCACUGCCACAACCACCAACUCCACCUUUAUCACCACCUCCACCUUCAUCACCACCACCUUCACUCCACCACUACCACUACCACCACAUGAUUAGCACAUAACACUUUCAACGUCAUGUCUAUUUUAGUCAUUAUUCACAGGUAUAACAGUUUUAUAUUAAAAUUUACCAAACGGUUUUGACACAGUUUUUUGUACUAACAGCACUUUAAAAAUAUUGUUUACCAAACAUGGAACUAUUUUACUUUACAGCUAAUUAUUUUCAAAGCACAGCAGAAGCAAUUUUUUUUUUUUAAGUGACAGCAUAGGUAUUCUAGUAAUUUUAACUCCUUAUCUUCUCUCUUAUCUCUGUCCCUUUUGCCUCUCUCUUCUCUCUCCUAUCUUCUCUCUUCUCUCUUUUCUCAGCCUCUUUCUCCUCUCAGCCUCUCUCUCUUCUCUCCCCCUGCCAACAAAUAAGAAAAAUAUGAAUAAAAUAUAUACGUCAAUAUUUGACAAAAUUUUAAUCUAUAAUGUUAUUAUUUAAGAAAUAUGUGAAUUUGCCUUAUUAUACUCGAUAAUUUUAAUUAGUUACUUAAUCAGACUCCUUAAUUUGUUGCAUAUUUCCCUUGUUGUAGAUUAAGCAUGAACUUAGUAUCCCAUGGCUUGCUCGGUUGGAUCAUCUAGAGCACCGGAGGUGCAUUGAGAGGAAAGAAACUCUUGGUCCAUGGACAGGAAACUCCUUAUCCUAUAGGUAAUUACUAAUGCUAAAUACAAUUAGAUUAAAGGAUCAAUUGCGGUUAAUUACUUGAUUAAGCAGUUUGAUUAAUUAUUCCUGCAGAUUAUUAGCUUGUCAAAGCAAUGCCAUGCUGCUACAACUUGCCAUUGAGAAUUAUACCCUAAGACAGUCCAUAUUCAGAAAUGAAUUAAAGGAGUUAGAAAGGUACUCCUAAUUGUUUUAUUUAUUUAUUUUAUUUUAAUCAGUCUUGUAAAAUGAAAACACUUUUUUUUUGUGGUGAAAAAUCAUAUGCAGGUGGUCAAAAAUACUUUCUCAAAAUAAUUUACUAACUAAUGUUGAUAUAUCAUAUAAAAUCAGAUGGGAGCCAAAAGGCCUGACUGGACAUGGCAAAACUAUAUUCAAUGCUCUCAAAGAUUUUGUUGACGACAUUUCUGGGAAAUUCUUCAAUAAAAAUGGAUAUGACAUAAAGGCAUAUCUCCAGGAUCUAGUAAGACUUUACUUUCAAAUUUCAGUUGACAAUAUUUUCUUACACUUGUGCGUAGCAUUAUGGUAAAAAAAAGCUUGUAACUUAUUUUUAACUUUUUACCAAAUGAAUCUUAGUGGUGCCAAACCUUUGCAAGCUGGUUAAAGGAAGCAGAGUGGAGCAGAAAUGGGCAUGCCCCAUCAACAGUUGAGUACCUCCAAGUGGCCGCAACCUCUAUUGCUUCACAUACUAUUCUUCUUCCAGCUGCUUUUCUGCUUUAUCCACCUCCAGAAAUAGACAUCCUCAAGAAAAGGCAGCCACUUACAAAUUCACUUAUGCUUUUAACAAGGCUUUUGAAUGAAAUUAGAAGCUACCAGGUACAUAUUUAAUGAUCAGAUUCUUAAUUAAUUGUCAUUAUGUUUAGUAAUCUCUUAAUUUUCAUUUGUUAAUGGUAUAAUUGCAGAAGGAGCAAGAGGAGGGAAAGCCAAACCUUGUUCUGCUAUACAUGAAGGAGAAUCCAAAUUUGGGGGUUGAAGAAUCAAUAGCAAUUAUACAGAAGACAUUGGAUGAAAAGAAGAAAGAGUUUCUAGAACUGGCUCUGAUUAGUGAUGAAAUGCCAGAAGCAUGCAAACAACUUCACCUUCACUGCCUCAAAGCAUUUCAGAUGUUUUUCAAUUCUACAAAUGCAUUUGACUCCCCAACAGAAAGCAAUUUUUGAUCCCUUGAGAGUGGAGGAUGUGCAAGGAUCAUUUAUGCCACUCAGCUCUAUCAAUAUAAUCGAGAAUUAUUCUUCUUAAUACAAUCACCAAUUUAACAUGGUAUCAGAGUGAGCUAAUUGACUGGGCAAGAAUUACUAGGCCUUUACACAAUACGUGGUGUUCACGUGUUGGGCUUGCUUGUUUAUCCUUACCCCUUAUCCAAUACGUGGUGUUCAUGUGUUUGGUUUGAAUAUUUGACUCUGAUGUAGAAUUGGCUCCACGUGUAGCUAACUACGUACGUAAGGGGACGUGUUGAAGAAUGUAAAGUCCCACAUUUUAAACUUGACUAAAUAAUUACAAUAUAUAAUGAGUGGUUCCACUAUUAAUAGCAUCGAGGCCUUUUGUAUAAAACGUCACACUUGCUAAACAUGUGAUUAAGUUGAAGACUAUAAGGGGCUGCCCUACUUUCAUUUAUUUAUUUUUAACUACAAAACUUGUACAAUCAAACGUUUUGGCAAGAACAAAAAUAAAGGCAAAACAAAACUUUUUGGCAAAAAACAUGUACAUAGAAAAAAAAAAAACCCAACAACCAAACGUGCAUUGCAGUUAAAAGUUUUUUAGAAUAUAAUACUAAUAAAUAACAAGACAUAUUGGUGAAUUUCUAACCCGAGACCACAAAAAUCCUUUCUUCUUUUUACUUUCCAAAUUUAAUGUUUGGCUUCAUACAUGCAAAACAUCAAUUUUCACGACAUUGAGUGUGUCUGGUCUUCGAAUUCGUACCUCUCAAGUCUCAACUUGGCCCUGUUCCACAAGUUGAGUGUGUCUGGUCUUCGUCUUCGUACGUACCUCUCAAGUCUCAACAGUAUCAUAUCAUGUUGCACGUUGUGUGGUCCAAGAAGCCUAAGCUAUCACUGAAUAGUUGUGUGUUAGCUGGUUGAGAUAUUUAUAAAUGUCGGCCGGCUACCCUCUUUAUAAUUCUCAAACAAAACGGCACAUGCAUGGUCGUUUUUCAAUCAAAUCAAUUGAGGUCCUUACUCCAUGACAAUCAUCUAAACUAAAAAUUAUAUUGGAGUCAAAUUUGAGGCCGGAGGUCCACCAGAUUGACAAAUACCAUUACAGCACCUGCGCUAGGGAACUCAAGGAAAGACCUAGUGGCCAAGCCUUACUCUAGAAUAAUCUUAUCAGUUAAGAUGACAAACCCAACUAAUCUUUUUCUUCAAGGAAGAUGAUAAUUGAUAAAGGAAUUUCAAAACUUGUCUGGAACGGAGGCUAUCUAGAUAGAUGUAGUGUCACUUUUUAAGACAAUAACUUGGGGAUUAAGCUCAUCCACCGCGAUUCCCCAGAAUCACCACUCUACCAGCCCAACCUCACACAAGCAGAAAGAACUCAAAACCUCAUUCUCCUACUAUCCAAUGUUAAUGUUCUGCGUUCAAUAGUUGACCAUCAAGAGGUACUUUCUCCUGGAUUGUUCGACCAGCCUACGAAAUCAUGGAAUGAGCACCGGUGAACUACUUCUCUUGGAUUCCUGGCCUCAUGAGAUCAUGCUGACACCGAGACUUUUCGAUUUGUGCUACCAAAGACCAGCAUGACGAAGACAAGGAUAUAACAAUCUUGCAACUAUCACAUUCCAUUUAGGUGGUGCUGAUCUUAUGCUGCAGCCUCCGAGUGCCUUUUCUGUGGGUCUCGAUCAGAGCCGAAAAGAGUAUUUUUUUUAUUAGCAAUGAUAUCCUCAGGGCUUUCCCAACUUGAAAGCCUCAUAGGUGUAUACCAUCGUUUCAUAUUUGAUCUUAACAGAAAGACAUUGUGUUUUGGACUCGAAGAUUGUAUUCGAAAUUUAUAAAUUGUUAUUGUCAUGUCUUGCUACCUAGUUAGCUAGCUAGAGUGCUAGCAACCAUAAGGAAUUACUAUCAGAACAGGAGGAAAUGAAUAAAAUUUUCGAAGAAAAAUUCAACCUCUCUUGCCUUGAACAUGCAUAUGUGUGUGACUAUUUGUCUUAAAACUUUUCCUUCUCUUAUCAUUGAGAUGUUGUGAUGUAUGUGAAAGUUAAACGAUGAGAGAGGACAUGUUGCAAGGUGAAACGUGUAGGAGAAUUGGUCUCUCUUCUAAAGAAAACUCGAGGGGUGGGAUACCAAGAUAAAUCAAUUAAUUUGUCUUAAUUAACUACAGAACCUAUGCUGCAAAAUAUUCAAGCCAUCUUUGCCAUUACUUAGGUUACAAUCUGCACCUCCGGAAAAACCAUGUCAGGGUUCUAAAUAAGUUUCAAACAAGAUUGCUCAAAACACAACUGGAAUUGCCACACAGAAACAGUGGCAGUGGUAUUGCAUUUAUUUAUAUUGAAUCAAAGGUACAUCAGAUGACGAGGACAAGAGUCCAGAUAAGAACACAACACCGUCAAGAUAAUUACAAUGAGUUUACACGUGAGAUAGAUAAUGAUACAAGAUAAGCUUUAGGGAGGCUCAUGAGCAGCUAUGGGUUGUCUUGUCUAUCACUUGGUACAAUAAUGUCUCAUCCGCAGAGUACUAUUAUUUUUCCUGCGGUGCAUUAGCAAACUCAUUUUUCUUGUGUAUUUGUUGUACGUAUUCUGACAAAACUUAUUAUUUGGAUUGAAAUAAAGCACCAUGGACUUUAUUGGAACGAUCAACUCUGCACACACUUUAGACUUUAGAUUAUAGAUUAUUAACUCGGCAUAUUUGUUUUAAUUGUCAUUUUCUAAUUGGUUUUUAGUGUGUUAACAUUUUAUAAGAACCAAUUAGAAAAUAACAAGUGGCUAGUUUUGAGUUUUUCACUCCAAAUAAGUUCUAUAAGAGUUUUUGUAUAUUAUGUCAUGCUAAAAUGAGUUAAUCAAAUUUGAGUAUGACAAUCGCACCUUCAAUAUAAAUACGUCACCAGUUUUUUUAGAAUAUAUAUAAUACUAAUAAAUAAAACGCAUGUUAUAUAUAAUAUUGGUGAAUUAGGGACACCCACGCCAACAAAAUCCUUAUACUUUCCAAAUUUAACAUGUCCAAAUGUUUGGCUUCAAGCAUGCAAAACAUCAAUGUCGUGACAAUAGCGGUGACCCUCUCUACCACUCUUGAACUUGACUUACUAUGUCUGGUCUACGUAGAUACCCAAGAAGUUUUGGGCCAAUAAUUACAUUGCACAUGUUGUGUGUGGUCAGCAAGAAGCUCAGAGUAGUAUGUUAGCAGGUUGAGAAAUUCAUAAAUGUCGGCCGGGUACCCUAGCUAGUCCUCGGUCGUCUUUGUAAUUCUCAAACAAAACGGCAUAUGUGACAUAUUAUUUAUUAUAUGGUCCUUACUAAAUUGGAACAACUUGGAAGAAAUAGAGGAGGAAAAAUGAAGCAUCAAAUUGCGGCCGGAUCAGGUCCACCACCAGAUUGACAGACUUCAAAAUUCUACAUCCAGCAUGUAUCCAUGUGAAUUUCUUAGAAUUUUCAAGUGUAAACACUGAGAAAAAGAAGCAAAAGACGAUUAGAAUUCCAGAUGUUAUCCUUAUAAUUAAUGAAGUGCAACUAGCCUUGAGUUCGUUACUUUAAAUUAUACCAGCACUUGCCCAACGUAUGUGUACUUUCGUGGAAACCCACAUUAUUAAUGUAGUCUGGAUUUUGGACACAGGGCACGAUUAUUUGGUCCUAACUACAAAAGCGGCCCGCAAUUCAUUCAUACCAGGACUCGACACAGUAGAAAUUGAUUUUGUUCUGCACUCACUUUCAAUGUACUUAAAGGGCACUUAUGGAAAUUCACACUUGUUGAAAUACCUAAUGGUUUGAGUUAACUGAUUUUAUAUAAAUAGCACACAGAUUAUGCGAGAAUCUACACAAAAAAUACUAAGAAAAGGAAAAAGUAGUGUGCGUGUGACUCUGAAUUAAAAAUAUAUAUUUUGCAUGGAUUCGCAAGAAUCUCUAGUUAAGAAUCUUUUAAUGAAGGUUAAACAAGAUCACUUGGCGUCAUCAGAAUUUGAUGUUUAUUCUCUUGUGCCUCCUUCUCCUUAUGACACUGCUUGGCUCUCAAUGGUUCCCAACCCUCAACAAUCAGAUCAACCAUUGUUUCAGGGGUGCUUGGAUUGGGUGCUCCAACACCAAAACAGAGGAGGCUUCUGGGGUGAGAAUAUUGCUCAUCCCACCAUAGAGUGCCUCACUUCAACUCUUGCUUGCAUUGUUGCACUUACCACAUGGAAUGUCGGCCACGAUGCCAUUCAGAAAGGUACACACGCACAUAUAUAUAUAUAUAUAUAAUUUUUCUCUAAUUUCGACGUUGGGAUUCUAUUAAAAUCCUGUUCUCUAAUCAUUAUUGGACUGUUUCAAUUACCAAACAUUAUACUCUUUCAGUAGCUUAAAUCAAGAGAACCAUACUUUUAAAAAAAAGUAACCAAUUAUACCUGAAAAUUAACCAAUUUUGCGCAUAAUUAAUUGCUGCAAACUUUGCUUUGUUGUGUUUGUUGACUCGACUGUGUGUAUAUGUAUGUUUAGGGUUGGCAUUCAUCCAUGGAAACACAGAGAAGCUCUUGGAAGAGCAGAAUGGUUCUUUUCCUGAGUGGUUUGCAAUAGUUUUCCCAGCAAUGAUUGAACUUGCAGAGACCAAAGGCUUACAUGUUUACUUUUCUAAUGGGCUAGUAGAACAAGUCUUUCUAGAGAGACAAGAAAUAUUGCAAACGCGCAGGUAGUUUUAAAUUUUAAUUUCGCUUUAUUUUUGAUAUGUAGUACACUUAUAAUAGACUUAAUUUGGUGCCUGGUUCUCAUAUCCCAAGUGUGAAAAUUUAUCUAGCUAGUUUUCUGUUGGGGCAGGUGGGUGUCCGGUUGUGGUCGGCAACAGAAUUAUCCAGCACUCAUGUUAAAAUAUCAUGAAGACGGGUUAAUCCAAUCCCCAUCAGCCAUUGCACAUGCUUUCAUGAAGACGGGGAACAAGGAGUUUUUGGUCAAAUUGAAUUCUAUUGUCCAAACAUGUGGUUAUGGAGGUACGUAGUUUUCUUUUUAUAUUUUGUAUUAUAUGAUGUCAUUGUUGUCCUACUUGCAUGUGACUAGUGUUCAUAUAUACGUCACUAAAUGACAAAUUAACCACAAUAGGCUUGGCUUGUAUAUCUCAAGUGGUUGAAAAUAGUUUUUCAUGUACAUGAGGUUAUGUGUUUAAGUUCCGCUUCUUGGUAUUGCUUUUAUUAAAAAUAAAAAAGCUACAUAGUCUAACAUAUAGUAGGACAAUUUGGUACGUUUACAGUUCCUGCGGUCUACCCCUUGGAUGAAGACCUUGUAAAGAUUCUUCUAAUUAACCAGAUUGAGACGCUGGGGUUGGCAGAGCAUUUCAUGGAGGAGAUUACAAGUUUGCUGGGCCAAGUUUACAGGUUACAGCCAGCCCUAAUAUUCAACAUUAAUUAAUCAUAUUUAUAUAUAGAUAUUUAACAUGUGCAUAAAAUUAAUCUGGUUGAUUAAUUAUUUUUGUCUAAAAGCAGAAGUUACAUCAGCUGCGAAGAACCGAAGAGUAUGGCAAAGAAUGCGAUGCCGAUACAACUGUAUAAACAUUCCCUCGCAUUUCGACUUCUAAGACUUUAUGGUUAUAGAGUUUCUCCUCGUAAGGAUCAAUGAUAAGUACAUAUAUGUUUAUUAAUUGAAUUGCAUAUUAAACUGUUGAAGAAUUUAAAGUCCCACCACACAUUGGAAAAUUUUCACAAAAUAAAUAUAAUAUAUAAUGAGUGGUUCCACAACUAAUAUCACCGAAACCUUUUUGUGACAAACCUCUCUGAAAUUUAACAUAGUAUCAGAGCGGGAGAGGCUACAACAAGAAGGUUAAAGUGAGGAGGCUAUUUGGGGAGGCCAAUCCCACCAUCAAAACAUUUAAAAUGUUUAAGUCCCAUGAUUUCUUUACAUUUGUUGAUGGUGAGAUUAACCUUCUCACUUUAAACUCUUCAUUAUAGCCUCCCCGGUAUCAAAGCAAGUUGAUUGACUAGACCUGAAUUACUGGUCGUUUACCCUUACUCUAUACCGAACACGUGGUGUUCACAUUUUGGACUUGAAUGUUUACUCUUACUCCUUAACUAAUACGUGGUAUUCAUGUGUUGGGCUUGAAUGAUUGACUUCGUGAUGUGGAUUUCACUGCACAUGUGGCCCACUAUGUGGUGGUACCACGUGAGGGGGCAUGUUGAAGAAUAUAAAGUCUCACAUCAAAAACUUGAUCAAAUAAAAUAUAACAUAUAAUGAAUUGUUCCACUACUAAUAUCACCGAGGCCUUUUAUUUUAAAAAUCUCACACGUACUCGGCUUUGUAGAUAAUUGAAUUGGGGAUAAUAUCGAUAUUGUUAGUAGUGGGCUGAUAGUCCGUAUCUUUGAAAUUUAAUAUAAACUUUGUUGAUUGAAUAUUAAUUUGCGUUGCAAUUACUUUUGCAGGAAAUUUCUGCAGGUUCCUCGAGGAUGAAGAUAUAGUGGCUUACAUAGAAGAGCAUCGGGAGCUUUUCUUGAGUGCCAUGUAUAAUGUAUACAGGGCAACUGAUGUUACCUUUACAGGAGAAAAUCAGCUCGAGGAUACCAGGGCAUUCUCAAGAAGAAUACUAGAAAAGGAAACAAUGAAAGAUUGUAUGAAUUUGGUCCGACCUAUUAGUAUGACUAAUUUGCAAGGCCAGGUAAAUGUAAAUUAUAAAUAGGGCUAACUACAAAACACCCCUAGAUAUUAGUUUUUUAAAAGAAUAUUUAUUGUUUUAUUAUUUUAAGGAUUUUUUAAUUAUUUUUAUUGACACAUCAGCACAAAAGUGGGUCCCUCACUUGCCACAUCAUUAGUUUAAUAAAAAACUAGACGGUCAAAUUAACGAAAUGUGUAAAUUAAUCGAAUCUUAAAACGUUCGGAUGUGAAUUGAUAAACCUCGAGGCCCAUACUGAGAAUGACCCCAAAUAUUUAGGUAGCCCAAAUAAAUUUUACAAUAAAUUAAAAAAAAUAACAACAAAAUAUAUACCUGUAUUAUUCGACAAAAUUUAUGAAUAAAAAAAAUAUUGUAAAAAGUUAGGCCAUUAUUAUUCAUUUAAAAUUUUAAUCUUUUUAUUUAAAACUAUGUGAAAAAUAUUUAUAUAAUAUGUGAAUUUUCUUUAGCAUACUUGAUAAUUCUAAUUAGUUACUUAAUUUGUUGAAUAUUGUGUAGAUUAAGCAUGAACUUAGUAUUCCAUGGCUUGCUCGUUUGGAUCAUCUAGAGCACAGGAGGUGCAUUGAGAGGGAAGAAAGUCUUGGUCCAUGGACAGCAAAUGCCUUAUCCUAUAGGUAAUUACUAAUACUAAAUUCAAAUUAGAAGAAAGGCAGUCAAAUUUUCCCAAUCAGAUCAAUUGCUGUUAAUUACCUGAUUAACCGGUUUCAUUAAUUAUUUCCCGCAGAUUAUCAUCUCAAAGCAAUGCCACGCUGCUACAACUUGCCAUUGAGAAUUAUUCCCUAAGACAGUCCAUAUUCAGAAAUGAAUUAAAGGAGUUAGAAAGGUACUCCUAAUUGUUUUAUUUAUUUGUUUUAUUUUAAUCAGUCUUGUAAAAUGAAAACACUUUUUUUUUUUUUUUGUGGUGAAAAAUCAUACGCAGGUGGUCAAAGGAAAUGGGUCUUGCUGCCAUGGGAUUUGCUCGACAGAAAACCACGUACUGCCAUUUUGCAGUUGCUUCAACCGCAUCAAACUCUUCCCUUUCAGAUGUACGGCUGGCAGUUGUGAAGAGUGCAAUUCUUGUUACAGUUGCUGAUGAUUUUUUUGAUAGGGAAGGUUCAAUGGAUGAAUUGGAAGCUCUUGCCAAUGCCGUCAACAGGUACAAUGUAAUGUUAAACAAUGAUUCUUGUAUACCCCACGACCACGAUUAUAUAAAGUUCGUCUCACAAUAUUUAACCACAAGACUGAUUGUUAUGUGGUGAAUUACGAACACCAAAGAAGUUUUACAUAAUAUAAUUCUCGCAUUCAAAAAUACUUUCUCAAAAUAAUUUACUAACUAAUGUUGAUAUAUCAUAUAAAAUCAGAUGGGAGCCAAAAGGCCUGACUGGACAUGGCAAAACUAUAUUCAAUGCUCUCAAAGAUUUUGUUGACGACAUUUCUGGGAAAUUCUUCAAUAAAAAUGGAUAUGACAUAAAGGCAUAUCUCCAGGAUCUAGUAAGACUUUACUUUCAAAUUUCAGUUGACAAUAUUUUCUUACACUUGUGCGUAGCAUUAUGGUAAAAAAAAGCUUGUAACUUAUUUUUAACUUUUUACCAAAUGAAUCUUAGUGGUGCCAAACCUUUGCAAGCUGGUUAAAGGAAGCAGAGUGGAGCAGAAAUGGGCAUGCCCCAUCAACAGUUGAGUACCUCCAAGUGGCCGCAACCUCUAUUGCUUCACAUACUAUUCUUCUUCCAGCUGCUUUUCUGCUUUAUCCACCUCCAGAAAUAGACAUCCUCAAGAAAAGGCAGCCACUUACAAAUUCACUUAUGCUUUUAACAAGGCUUUUGAAUGAAAUUAGAAGCUACCAGGUACAUAUUUAAUGAUCAGAUUCUUAAUUAAUUGUCAUUAUGUUUAGUAAUCUCUUAAUUUUCAUUUGUUAAUGGUAUAAUUGCAGAAGGAGCAAGAGGAGGGAAAGCCAAACCUUGUUCUGCUAUACAUGAAGGAGAAUCCAAAUUUGGGGGUUGAAGAAUCAAUAGCAAUUAUACAGAAGACAUUGGAUGAAAAGAAGAAAGAGUUUCUAGAACUGGCUCUGAUUAGUGAUGAAAUGCCAGAAGCAUGCAAACAACUUCACCUUCACUGCCUCAAAGCAUUUCAGAUGUUUUUCAAUUCUACAAAUGCAUUUGACUCCCCAACAGAGUUGCUUGC